RNAcentral lists this ribosomal RNA (449 nucleotides) under uncultured bacterium. RNAcentral describes it as "partial 16S ribosomal RNA". It matches the Rfam family "Bacterial small subunit ribosomal RNA", at positions 29 to 523 of the family's 1533-position model. The record is from RNAcentral.
AACGAACGCUGGCGGCAUGCCUAACACACGCAAGUCGAACGAGAUCUUCGGGUCUAGUGGCGCACGGGUGCGUAACGCGUGGGAAUCUGCCUUUUGGUUCGGAAUAACAGUUGGAAACGACUGCUAAUACCGGAUGAUGACGAAAGUCCAAAGAUUUAUCGCCAGAGGAUGAGCCCGCGUAGGAUUAGCUAGUUGGUGUGGUAAAGGCGCACCAAGGCGCCGAUCCUUAGCUGGUCUGAGAGGAUGAUCAGCCACACUGGGACUGAGACACGGCCCAGACUCCUACGGGAGGCAGCAGUGGGGAAUAUUGGACAAUGGGCGAAAGCCUGAUCCAGCAAUGCCGCGUGAGUGAUGAAGGCCUUAGGGUUGUAAAGCUCUUUUACCCGGGAUGAUAAUGACAGUACCGGGAGAAUAAGCUCCGGCUAACUCCGUGCCAGCAGCCGCCGUAA